RNAcentral lists this unclassified non-coding RNA (194 nucleotides) under uncultured Ascomycota. RNAcentral describes it as "sequence contains ITS2". Lineage: Eukaryota; Fungi; Ascomycota. The record is from RNAcentral.
CACCGCUCAGGCCCUGCCUGGUGUUGGGGACCGCGGGAUCUCCCAGGAGAGACCGCGGCCCCGAAAUGCAGCGGCGGCUCCCGCGGGCACCUCCCUAGCGCAGUAAGAUAGCACCUCGCUGCCGCUUCGGAGUUCGUGGGACGCCUGCCUCGAAUUCGAGACGUGCUCCUCGCAGCCCGCUCAACUCUCUCAGG